GAUGAACGCUGGCGGCGUGCUUAACACAUGCAAGUCGAACGAAGCACUGAAAGCAGAUUACUUUGGUUUGAAGCUUUCUUUGACUGAGUGGCGGACGGGUGAGUAACGCGUGGGUAACCUGCCUCAUACAGGGGGAUAACAGUUAGAAAUGACUGCUAAUACCGCAUAAGCGCACAGGACCGCAUGGUCCGGUGUGAAAAACUCCGGUGGUAUGAGAUGGACCCGCGUCUGAGUAGCUGGUUGGUGAGGUAACGGCCCACCAAGGCGACGAUCAGUAGCCGGCCUGAGAGGGUGAACGGCCACAUUGGGACUGAGACACGGCCCAA
This 326-nucleotide ribosomal RNA is filed under the name uncultured bacterium. Its description in RNAcentral is "bacterial SSU rRNA". It matches the Rfam family "Bacterial small subunit ribosomal RNA", at positions 28 to 334 of the family's 1533-position model. The record is from RNAcentral.